RNAcentral lists this ribosomal RNA (253 nucleotides) under uncultured bacterium. RNAcentral describes it as "partial 16S ribosomal RNA". It matches the Rfam family "Bacterial small subunit ribosomal RNA", at positions 524 to 776 of the family's 1533-position model. The record is from RNAcentral.
UACGUAGGGUGCGAGCGUUGUCCGGAAUUAUUGGGCGUAAAGAGCUCGUAGGCGGUCUGUCGCGUCGGCUGUGAAAACCCGAGGCUCAACCUCGGGCCUGCAGUCGAUACGGGCAAACUAGAGUACUGCAGGGGAGACUGGAAUUCCUGGUGUAGCGGUGAAAUGCGCAGAUAUCAGGAGGAACACCGGUGGCGAAGGCGGUUCUCUGGGCAUUACCUGACGCUGAGGAGCGAAAGUGUGGGGAGCGAACAGG